GGUGCUAUAGUGUAGUGGUUAUCACUCAGGAUUUUGACGAACUUCUGUUCAGAAUACACUUUCCUGAAACCCAGGUUCGAGCCCUGGUAGCACCU
Molecule: non-coding RNA, 95 nt
Organism: Crepidotus variabilis
Lineage: Eukaryota; Fungi; Basidiomycota; Agaricomycetes; Agaricales; Crepidotaceae
Source: the annotation of a GenBank genome assembly